CACCGAGGUCGCAGCCCCGAGCCAGGUGGUUGGUUACCAGCCAAGCGAGCGAGUGCGCCCGCUCUUCGGGGCUCCUGGGUGCCACCCGGAGGUGUCCUGUUGGUUGCGCUGAUUAGAGCCGUCGCCCCCUCUCGGGCGGCUGGUCCUCUUAUUAGGCGGCAGUGCAGGUGGCAGUGUGGACAGCACACCGCAGAGACAAGCUCAAGAAGACCACACAGCACUGUACGGAAUGCAUUAAGCAGAAUACGAAAGAGCUGGACCUGAGAGCUGGGAAAUGGACAAACCUCAGGAGAAAGGGGCGUUUCUCUGAAGGAGAGAAACCACCGGAGAAAGCACGAAGCGCAGGGAAAACAGAGCAAGCAAUAGAAGCAAGAAAGAUGUGUUUUUUCCUUUCUCGAAUUUUGCAUUGUCACUCGGUGAAGGGGAAGGGAGCCUUUUACCUUCUGCCUCAAUGGAAGACAGGAGCAGGGCCGCGCCCAGGGCGGCAAGCGCUGGGGGAAGCCUACUCCGCAUCCUUGGCCUCCGAGCUUACAGCGGCAUGAAGAGAUCUGCGGGAGGAAGUAGUGACUGCAUCAGAACUGGGUCUGGGCAGGCCUUGAACCAGGUUAGAACUGGAGCCUGGACCUAGUCCAGAACCCGACCAGAUCUGCCUUAAAAACCACAGGGCCUACUCCAGCACAUAAUGGGCCUAUUGUGAAGCAGUGGAAGUCAAGUUCGUCUACAGAAGUUUAAUCAUGGCCCUAGGAGGAAGUUCAAGUUUAAAAAGGGUCCUGUUCUCCUGGAGACUGGUCCUGCUUAGCAUCCCGGGUGAAGGCCUUUACCAGCCCUCACAUGACUUCAUCCUGCCUGGGUAAUGGCUAAUUCAGAGGUCAUUUUAUCCCUCACUCAACUAAAUAUCUCUUCCAGCUGGGGAUUUUAUUUGACUGCUUUUUUCCUAGCUGAUGAACUCUUUAGGUAACUGUACUUUAGUGGUCUCAGGGUAAUUUGGAAAAGUAUAAUAAACCUUUUUAAUUCUCUUUUUUCUUCAUUUUGUUCUGCUUUCAAAUAUGCAGCUCUUUAAGAUCUGAAAUGGAUUAUACAGAAAUAUGUAAGGCCCAGCUGAAACCUGACCCUCCUGCUAACUGUGUUGUUUUCACAUCUGAUAAAUCCUUUACCUGAGAUGAGGGAAAAACAACUCCAAAAUACAUAAUAACAAAUAAGGCAGCAAAAUGGAAGAAGCAAGACACCCUUGUCUGUUUUUCCAACGUGUUUUUAAAUAAAAAUU
Molecule: long non-coding RNA, 1264 nt
Filed under: Homo sapiens (human)
Lineage: Eukaryota; Metazoa; Chordata; Mammalia; Primates; Hominidae
Description: HSALNT0108609
Source: RNAcentral